Molecule: ribosomal RNA, 548 nt
Filed under: Bacillus licheniformis
Lineage: Bacteria; Bacillati; Bacillota; Bacilli; Caryophanales; Bacillaceae
Description: bacterial SSU rRNA
Rfam family: Bacterial small subunit ribosomal RNA
Source: RNAcentral
GGCAUCGAUGAGAAGUCUGACGGAGCACGCCGCGUGAGUGAUGAAGGUUUUCGGAUCGUAAAACUCUGUUGUUAGGGAAGAACAAGUACCGUUCGAAUAGGGCGGUACCUUGACGGUACCUAACCAGAAAGCCACGGCUAACUACGUGCCAGCAGCCGCGGUAAUACGUAGGUGGCAAGCGUUGUCCGGAAUUAUUGGGCGUAAAGCGCGCGCAGGCGGUUUCUUAAGUCUGAUGUGAAAGCCCCCGGCUCAACCGGGGAGGGUCAUUGGAAACUGGGGAACUUGAGUGCAGAAGAGGAGAGUGGAAUUCCACGUGUAGCGGUGAAAUGCGUAGAGAUGUGGAGGAACACCAGUGGCGAAGGCGACUCUCUGGUCUGUAACUGACGCUGAGGCGCGAAAGCGUGGGGAGCGAACAGGAUUAGAUACCCUGGUAGUCCACGCCGUAAACGAUGAGUGCUAAGUGUUAGAGGGUUUCCGCCCUUUAGUGCUGCAGCAAACGCAUUAAGCACUCCGCCUGGGGAGUACGGUCGCAAGACUGAAACUCUGAA